GUCAAGGAGGAAAAGAAAUCUCCACAACCUUGAUACGUGCAGUGAGGUAUAUGCCAAUGGAGAAAAAGAGACCAAGAGAAAGUGAUUUCCAACUUGAAAUCUGGAAAUUCAAAGUGUAAAUCUUGUUAAUGCAAGUUUAUAAUCUGAUUUCUAGCAUCAUCAUCUCUUUUUUUUGAAUUUAGAAGAUUAGCUAAAAUCCAACAAGGAACGCAAGGUGGAAGCUUUGGGCAAACAAGGUAAGUGAUUUCUGUAAUCACUUCUUAUUUUAUUUAAGUAAAGUAGCGUUAGUUGAUUAAGCGUGAUGAGGUUUGAAGUUUCAUAUGGUUUUGUUCGUAUGAAAUUGGUAAUUUUAGCUUAGUAGACCGAAUGGGACAAUAUAAAGUUGUAAUGAUAUGACGAAUAAUGUCUGUGUAAUGGCUACGGUAUGUAACCGGGUAAUGGGUAAAAUUGCACAUAAGUGCACCAACCGAGAAUGGGGACUUAGGUUAAUGGGUCAAAGUGAAGGUAUACUUUAGCACGGAACGUUUGUACAAGCAAUGUCGAUAGUAUUUCAUGUGCCCGGUUAGUGUAAGGUGUUAUAACAUUAACAUUAUGUGAGCCUUAAGUGUAAACAUAUGAGUUGUUGAUAAAUGCAUGACGGGUCGAAUAAUUCGUAAUGAAUAAUAAGCCGAAAAUGUAUAAGUUAAGAAUUUCCUUAACCCGGAUGUUGGAUUUUAAGUUCACAUAAUAGAAUGUUAGUUUACAAUCAUGCAGGAAGAAACGAGAGGUUAAUCGGGUAAACGGUUUAAAAGCUAUGCAAGUUUUUGUGCGUGCGAACGACAAAACAACACAGCAGAAAAAUGGCAAAACUAGAGGCCGUCGCCGACGCCCCUAUGGGCCGUCGCCGCCGACGCCUUGUGCAUUUUCAGUUUUCUCCGACGCCUAAUUUUCCUGUCUUCGAAGGUUUCUGGCUACGUGAAAAACUAAUAGCCGUCGCCGACGCCCUAUAGGGCCGUCACCGAAGGCCUCCACAUGUUUUAAAUGCUGAAAUUCGUUAAUUAAGUUAUUUUGUGUACCGUAAGCUUCGGUAUAUUAACCGUGGUCUACGACGGGCCUCCCAAACAUAAUUUUGAAUGUUUCCUUGAUGUUUUUGGAUCAUAAAUCCAAGUCUAAGCAC
Molecule: long non-coding RNA, 1156 nt
Filed under: Helianthus annuus (common sunflower)
Lineage: Eukaryota; Viridiplantae; Streptophyta; Magnoliopsida; Asterales; Asteraceae
Source: RNAcentral